RNAcentral lists this ribosomal RNA (437 nucleotides) under uncultured prokaryote. RNAcentral's name for it is "bacterial SSU rRNA". It matches the Rfam family "Bacterial small subunit ribosomal RNA", at positions 355 to 785 of the family's 1533-position model. The record is from RNAcentral.
UCGGGAAUCUUGCACAAUGGGCGAAAGCCUGAUGCAGCAACGCCGUGUGAGUGAGGAAGGCCUUAGGGUCGUAAAGCUCUGUUGUUGGGGACGAAGGGCGAAGGGUUAAUAGCCCCUAGCCUGACGGUACCCUUCGAGGAAGCCCCGGCUAACUACGUGCCAGCAGCCGCGGUAAUACGUAGGGGGCGAGCGUUGUCCGGAAUUAUUGGGCGUAAAGAGCGUGUAGGCGGCCUGGUAAGUCUGCCGUGAAAACCUGGGGCUCAACCCUGGGCGUGCGGUGGAUACUGCUAGGCUAGAGGAUGGUAGGGGAAGGUGGAAUUCCUGGUGUAGCGGUGAAAUGCGCAGAUAUCAGGAGGAACACCGGUGGCGAAGGCGGCCUUCUGGGCCUGUACUGACGCUGAGGAGCGAAAGCGUGGGGAGCAAACAGGAUUAGAUAC